CUAAGAAUAUUCCGCAAUGGACGGAAGUCUGACGGAGCGACGCCGCGUGGAUGACGAAGGCCGAAAGGUUGUAAAGUUCUUUUGCUGGGGAAGAAUAACCGCAGGAGGGAAUGCCUGUGGGAUGACAAGAACCGGCGAAUAAGCCCCGGCCAACUACGUGCCAGCAGCCGCGGUAACACGUAGGGGGGCCGAGCGUUGUUCGGAAUUACUGGGCGUAAAGGGCAUGUAGGCGGCUUGGAAAGCCUGGCGUGAAAGUCUGCAGCUUAACUGCAGGGGUGCGCUGGGAACUGCUGAGCUUGAGUGACGGAGAGGGAGCUGGAAUUCCUGGUGUAGGGGUGAAAUCUGUAGAUAUCAGGAAGAACACCGAUGGCGAAGGCAAGCUCCUGGCCGAUGACUGACGCUGAGGUGCGAAAGUGUGGGGAUCAAACAGGAUUAGAUACCCUGGUAGUCCACACAGUCAACGAUGUGCACUAGGUGCUGGGGCGGUAGCUUCGGUGCCGGAGCGAACGUGGUAAGUGCACCGCCUGGGGAGUAUGCUCGCAAGGGUGAAACUC
This 554-nucleotide ribosomal RNA is filed under the name uncultured bacterium. Its description in RNAcentral is "partial 16S ribosomal RNA". It matches the Rfam family "Bacterial small subunit ribosomal RNA", at positions 355 to 902 of the family's 1533-position model. The record is from RNAcentral.